RNAcentral lists this ribosomal RNA (1008 nucleotides) under Rhodotorula diobovata. Its description in RNAcentral is "eukaryotic LSU rRNA". It matches the Rfam family "Eukaryotic large subunit ribosomal RNA", at positions 81 to 1107 of the family's 3401-position model. The record is from RNAcentral. Lineage: Eukaryota; Fungi; Basidiomycota; Microbotryomycetes; Sporidiobolales; Sporidiobolaceae.
UAGUAGCGGCGAGCGAAGCGGGAAGAGCUCAAAUUUAUAAUCUGGCACCUUCGGUGUCCGAGUUGUAAUCUCUAGAAGUGUUUUCCGCGUUGGACCGCACACAAGUCUGUUGGAAUACAGCGGCAUAGUGGUGAAACCCCCGUAUAUGGUGCGGACGCCCAGCGCUUUGUGAUACACUUUCAAUGAGUCGAGUUGUUUGGGAAUGCAGCUCAAAUUGGGUGGUAAAUUCCAUCUAAAGCUAAAUAUUGGCGAGAGACCGAUAGCGAACAAGUACCGUGAGGGAAAGAUGAAAAGCACUUUGGAAAGAGAGUUAACAGUACGUGAAAUUGUUGGAAGGGAAACGCUUGAAGUCAGACUUGCUUGCCGGAGCUUGCUUCGGUUUGCAGGCCAGCAUCAGUUUUCCGGGGUGGAUAAUGACGGUUUGAAGGUAGCAGUCUCGGCUGUGUUAUAGCUUUCCGUUGGAUACGCCCUGGGGGACUGAGGAACGCAGCGUGCUUUUUGCGAAAGACUCGUCUUUUUCACGCUUAGGAUGCUGGUGGAAUGGCUUUAAACGACCCGUCUUGAAACACGGACCAAGGAGUCUAACAUGCUCGCGAGUAUUUGGGUGUCAAACCCGGAUGCGCAAUGAAAGUGAAUGUAGGUGGGAACCGCAAGGUGCACCAUCGACCGAUCUGGAUUUUUUAAGAUGGAUUUGAGUAAGAGCGCGUAUGUUGGGACCCGAAAGAUGGUGAACUAUGCCUGAAUAGGGCGAAGCCAGAGGAAACUCUGGUGGAGGCUCGUAGCGGUUCUGACGUGCAAAUCGAUCGUCAAAUUUGGGUAUAGGGGCGAAAGACUAAUCGAACCAUCUAGUAGCUGGUUCCUGCCGAAGUUUCCCUCAGGAUAGCAGAAACUCACAUCAGUUCUAUGAGGUAAAGCGAAUGAUUAGAGGCCUUGGGGUUGAAACAACCUUAACCUAUUCUCAAACUUUAAAUAUGUAGGAAGUCCUUGCUACUUAAUUGAGCGAGGACA